ACGCUCGACACCUACGGGAGGCAGCAGUGGGGAAUAUUGCACAAUGGGGGAAACCCUGAUGCAGCGACGCCGCGUGAGCGAAGAAGUAUUUCGGUAUGUAAAGCUCUAUCAGCAGGGAANAAACUGACGGUACCUGACUAAGAAGCACCGGCUAAAUACGUGCCACAGCCGCGGUAAUCUGAGCGGGCUGGCAAGGC
RNAcentral lists this ribosomal RNA (197 nucleotides) under uncultured bacterium. Its description in RNAcentral is "partial 16S ribosomal RNA". It matches the Rfam family "Bacterial small subunit ribosomal RNA", at positions 328 to 539 of the family's 1533-position model. The record is from RNAcentral.